RNAcentral lists this ribosomal RNA (253 nucleotides) under uncultured bacterium. RNAcentral describes it as "partial 16S ribosomal RNA". It matches the Rfam family "Bacterial small subunit ribosomal RNA", at positions 524 to 776 of the family's 1533-position model. The record is from RNAcentral.
UACGUAGGGGGCGAGCGUUGUCCGGAAUCAUUGGGCGUAAAGCGCGUGUAGGCGGUUCAGUAAGUCUGCUGUGAAAGUCCAGGGCUCAACCCUGGGAUGCCGGUGGAUACUGCUGAACUAGAGUGCGGAAGAGGCGAGUGGAAUUCCCGGUGUAGCGGUGAAAUGCGCAGAUAUCGGGAGGAACGCCAAUUGCGAAGGCAGCUCGCUGGGACGUGACUGACGCUGAGACGCGAAAGCGUGGGGAGCAAACAGG